GAUCAGGCAUUGGCUGAAACAAAUGGU
This 27-nucleotide non-coding RNA is filed under the name Homo sapiens (human). Lineage: Eukaryota; Metazoa; Chordata; Mammalia; Primates; Hominidae. The record is from RNAcentral.